UGCAGUGUAGUGGUCAGACACCUGGACUCUGGAGCCAGGCUGCCUGGGUUCAAAUCCCAGCUCUGCAG
This 68-nucleotide transfer RNA is filed under the name Myotis brandtii (Brandt's bat). It matches the Rfam family "tRNA". Rfam says of the family: Transfer RNA (tRNA) molecules are approximately 80 nucleotides in length. Lineage: Eukaryota; Metazoa; Chordata; Mammalia; Chiroptera; Vespertilionidae. The record is from Rfam by way of RNAcentral.